CGAGACUACGGAAGCCGGAAGGAGAGGGCUAAGGGGUGUCAGUGAAUGAGGGAUAAGAUGAAGCCUCCCUGGAUCUCUGAUGGGAAUGGAAGUGGUGAGGAGAAGCGAGGAAAUUAGUCUUCUUGCAUCUCAUUUGGGAGGAACUAGCUCACAUAUGGAGUCUCUCGAGAUUAGCCUUACAGUUGCUGCCAAAGAGUUUUUGGUGUCUGACAGGGUUAUCUCAGAAGUAUCCUGGACCUUCAACCUUUUGGAAGGACACAUUCUGCA
This is a long non-coding RNA of Octodon degus (degu), 267 nucleotides long. RefSeq lists it as uncharacterized. The record is from RefSeq and is a predicted model, not a curated record. NCBI's taxonomy places the organism in Eukaryota, Metazoa, Chordata, Mammalia, Rodentia, Octodontidae. The transcript is spliced from 3 exons.